GGGUGUAUAGCUCAGUGGUAGAGUGCAUGCUUAGCAUGCAGGAGGUCCUGGGUUCAAUUCCCAGUACCUCUU
This 72-nucleotide transfer RNA is filed under the name Camelus ferus (Wild Bactrian camel). It matches the Rfam family "tRNA". Rfam says of the family: Transfer RNA (tRNA) molecules are approximately 80 nucleotides in length. Their secondary structure includes four short double-helical elements and three loops (D, anti-codon, and T loops). Lineage: Eukaryota; Metazoa; Chordata; Mammalia; Artiodactyla; Camelidae. The record is from Rfam by way of RNAcentral.